GAAAAUUUUUAGUUUUUUAGCUUAUUUUAGAGCUUAAAUAAUAGAAUUUGAGUUUGAUUGCUGAGUGAGUCGCUUCUAAAAGGCGAUGCUAUAUCGUAGAUCUCAAAAAAAUGAUAUAAUUUUGAAUGAAAAAAUAUCAAAAUUCGACAUCAUAUGAUCAAAUUAUGGUCUCCAAAAAUUUGGCCCAAGACUCGGCUCUGAUAUAGC
Molecule: long non-coding RNA, 207 nt
Filed under: Elaeis guineensis (African oil palm)
Lineage: Eukaryota; Viridiplantae; Streptophyta; Magnoliopsida; Arecales; Arecaceae
Description: long non-coding RNA (EGUI_LNC014146)
Source: RNAcentral